Molecule: ribosomal RNA, 87 nt
Filed under: Vibrio parahaemolyticus
Lineage: Bacteria; Pseudomonadati; Pseudomonadota; Gammaproteobacteria; Vibrionales; Vibrionaceae
Description: partial 16S ribosomal RNA
Rfam family: Bacterial small subunit ribosomal RNA (bases 1-78)
Source: RNAcentral
ACUACUUUGUGGUUCAUGACUGGGGUGAAGUCGUAACAAGGUAGCGCUAGGGGAACCUGGCGCUGGAUCACCUCCUUAAACGAUGAU